This 446-nucleotide ribosomal RNA is filed under the name uncultured bacterium. RNAcentral's name for it is "partial 16S ribosomal RNA". It matches the Rfam family "Bacterial small subunit ribosomal RNA", at positions 338 to 795 of the family's 1533-position model. The record is from RNAcentral.
CCUACGGGUGGCAGCAGUCGAGAAUCAUUCACAAUGGGGGAAACCCUGAUGGUGCGACGCCGCGUGGGGGAAUGCAGGUCUUCGGAUUGUAAACCCCUGUCAUGUGGGCGCAAAUUAAAAAGCUAGUACCUCAAGAGGAAGAGACGGCUAACUCUGUGCCAGCAGCCGCGGUACUACAGAGGGCUCAAGCGUUGUUCGGAAUCACUGGGCGUAAAGCGUGCGUAGGCUGUUUCGUAAGUCGUGUGUGAAAGGCGCGGGCUCAACCCGCGGACGGCACAUGAUACUGCGAGACUAGAGUAAUGGAGGGGGAACCGGAAUUCUCGGUGUAGCAGUGAAAUGCGUAGAUAUCGAGAGGAACACUCGUGGCGAGGGCGGGUUCCUGGACAUUAACUGACGCUGAGGCACGAAGGCCAGGGGAGCGAAAGGGAUUAGAUACCCGAGUAGUC